CAGGAUGAACGCUGGCGGCGUGCUUAACACAUGCAAGUCGAACGAUGACCCGGUGCUUGCACCGGUGAUUAGUGGCGAACGGGUGAGUAACACGUGAGUAACCUGCCCUUAACUCUGGGAUAAGCCUGGGAAACUGGGUCUAAUACCGGAUAUGACUCCUCAUCGCAUGGUGGGGGGUGGAAAGCUUUAUUGUGGUUUUGGAUGGACUCGCGGCCUAUCAGCUUGUUGGUGAGGUAAUGGCUCACCAAGGCGACGACGGGUAGCCGGCCUGAGAGGGUGACCGGCCACACUGGGACUGAGACACGGCCCAGACUCCUACGGGAGGCAGCAGUGGGGAAUAUUGCACAAUGGGCGAAAGCCUGAUGCAGCGACGCCGCGUGAGGGAUGACGGCCUUCGGGUUGUAAACCUCUUUCAGUAGGGNANAAGCGAAAGUGACGUACCUGCA
This 446-nucleotide ribosomal RNA is filed under the name soil bacterium 1V-10. RNAcentral's name for it is "bacterial SSU rRNA". It matches the Rfam family "Bacterial small subunit ribosomal RNA", at positions 25 to 483 of the family's 1533-position model. The record is from RNAcentral.